This 465-nucleotide ribosomal RNA is filed under the name Vreelandella stevensii. RNAcentral describes it as "partial 16S ribosomal RNA". It matches the Rfam family "Bacterial small subunit ribosomal RNA", at positions 338 to 795 of the family's 1533-position model. Lineage: Bacteria; Pseudomonadati; Pseudomonadota; Gammaproteobacteria; Oceanospirillales; Halomonadaceae. The record is from RNAcentral.
CCUACGGGUGGCUGCAGUGGGGAAUAUUGGACAAUGGGGGCAACCCUGAUCCAGCCAUGCCGCGUGUGUGAAGAAGGCCCUCGGGUUGUAAAGCACUUUCAGUGAGGAAGAACGCCUGGUGGUUAAUACCCAUCAGGAAAGACAUCACUCACAGAAGAAGCACCGGCUAACUCCGUGCCAGCAGCCGCGGUAAUACGGAGGGUGCGAGCGUUAAUUGGAAUUACUGGGCGUAAAGCGCGCGUAGGUGGCUUGAUAAGCCGGUUGUGAAAGCCCCGGGCUCAACCUGGGAACGGCAUCCGGAACUGUCAAGCUAGAGUGCAGGAGAGGAAGGUAGAAUUCCCGGUGUAGCGGUGAAAUGCGUAGAGAUCGGGAGGAAUACCAGUGGCGAAGGCGGCCUUCUGGACUGACACUGACACUGAGGUGCGAAAGCGUGGGUAGCAAACAGGAUUAGAUACCCCAGUAGUC